UGCAGAAAGAUGGGUAGGAUUUUUAAUAAUCAGAAUGGGAGAGAAGGGGAAAUUUGUGGAUGUUCAGAUACUCUGAUGUUUGAUAGAGUUCUUGGUGAUGUCUUGCAGUCUUUAUAUAUUCUUUUUUUUCUUCAUUCCAGUUAAUAUUUUAAUAACAAGUUUGUAGUCUUAUCGCGUGCACAAUGACCAGGUUUCAAACUAGAUUUUUAUUUUUUUGACAGCAAAUAUCUCCUUUCAAUUAUCCAAGGGUGAAUUUUUUUAUCUAAACAGAGAGGUAAACACAAGCAACUCCAGAUCAGGUAAUCUUGCUUAAUUACUUGAUUGAUUAUAAAACAAUAUCUUCUGCUUUGAAACUCUAAUAUUAAAUGAGUGUCAUAUUCAAUGUAUCUUACAUAGUUACAUUGGUAGUUUAUUUUAUUUAGAACACUUGUUAUAACCACUAAUUGGAAGCAAUUUAUUAUCAAGAUUUUUUUCUUAGUUUUCUGCUGUUCACAAGAAUUUGAUUGGAUGUAAUCUUUUACUUUGUCAAUUGCCUACGUGUUUGCCUUUACUUCCAAGUUUUUAUUCUGGUCUUCAAAUCUAGAACUAUCUCUUUCUAAGUUCUUCAUCUCUUUGAUUGAAUAUGCUAUGGAUCUUUUAGAUUCGUCCAAUACCACUUUUUUAUAGGUGCUCUUCUGUUGAAUCCUAGCAGUGACUGUCCUACUUGUUUCAAUGCUAGCAGGGACUACCCUACUUGUUUCAAUGCUUGCAGUGCUUUGUUUCAUUAUCUUUGAUCACUGGUUUGGAAGUUAGGACCGUUGACUCUACUACAGCUUUGUUUUGAAUUCCUUUUCAGAGAGUUGUCCAAAUUUGAUUUUUCUUUCUUUCUUUUGAGCCAAAACUAAUGGCAGACGGAACAAAGAUGUUUCAAUUUGGUUAUCUAAUCUAAAGUUUCAUUUCUAAGUUGUUUUACAGCCGCCUUUUUGAAUGGAAAGUGGAUAAGUAUAAUUUUAUGUAGUGGUAUUUUUGUACUUCGAAUGUUAUCGUUUUUUUUAGUACUGAAACUCUGCAGAUGCCCAUUUGAUGUGUUAUGUAGACAACUAUUUUGAUUAUAGAUGUCUAAUAAAAUUUAUUAUUGAUGAUAUUAAAAUGGGUGGCAAUAAAUACUUUCUGAGUUUGUUGAGUUUAGUAAUUGGAAUGAGUACUUACGAUACGAUUUUAACACGAUGCGAACAUGAUACUUUCAUAAUAGUGUUUAGUUAGCGUCAAAAGUUUUAACACGAUUAAUAAUAGUGUCGAUUUAGUGUGUUGAAUAGAUACACAACUUU
This 1307-nucleotide long non-coding RNA is filed under the name Zostera marina. RNAcentral's name for it is "long non-coding RNA (ZMAR_LNC005952)". Lineage: Eukaryota; Viridiplantae; Streptophyta; Magnoliopsida; Alismatales; Zosteraceae. The record is from RNAcentral.